AGGGAAUCUUCCACAAUGGACGCAAGUCUGAUGGAGCAACGCCGCGUGAGUGAAAAAGGUUUUCGGACCGUAAAGCUCUGUUGUUGGUGAAGAAGGAUAGAGGUAGUAACUGGCCUUUAUUUGACGGUAAUCAACCAGAAAGUCACGGCUAACUACGUGCCAGCAGCCGCGGUAAUACGUAGGUGGCAAGCGUUGUCCGGAUUUAUUGGGCGUAAAGCGAGCGCAGGCGGAAGAAUAAGUCUGAUGUGAAAGCCCUCGGCUUAACCGAGGAAUUGCAUCGGAAACUGUUUUCUUGAGUGCAGAAGAGGAGAGUAGAACUCCAUGUGUAGCGGUGGAUGCGUAGAUAUAUGGAAGAAUACCAGUGGCGAAGGCGGCUCUCUGGUCUGCAACUGACGCUGAGGCUCGAAAGCAUGGGUAGCGAACAGGAUUAGAUACCCUGGUAGUCCAUGCCGUAAACGAUGAGUGCUAAGUGUUGGGAGGCUUCCGCCUCUCAGUGCUGCAGCUAACGCAUUAAGCACUCCGCCUGGGGGAGUACGACCGCAAGGUUGAAACUCAAA
This 557-nucleotide ribosomal RNA is filed under the name uncultured bacterium. RNAcentral describes it as "partial 16S ribosomal RNA". It matches the Rfam family "Bacterial small subunit ribosomal RNA", at positions 356 to 905 of the family's 1533-position model. The record is from RNAcentral.